GUGGGGAAUAUUGGACAAUGGGCGGAAGCCUGAUCCAGCAAUGCCGCGUGGGUGAAGACGGCCUGCGGGUUGUAAAGCCCUUUAGGCGGGGAAGAACGACCGGGCACUAAUAGUGCCUGGAAGUGACGUUACCCGCGGAAUAAGCACCGGCUAACUCCGUGCCAGCAGCCGCGGUAAUACGGAGGGUGCGAGCGUUAAUCGGAAUUACUGGGCGUAAAGCGUGCGUAGGCGGAUCGGUCAGUCAGCCGUGAAAGCCCUGGGCUUAACCUGGGAACGGCGGUUGAGACGGCUGGUCUGGAGUGGGCUAGAGGACUGUGGAACUCCCGGUGUAGCGGUGAAAUGCGUAGAGAUCGGGAAGAACACCGAUGGCGAAGGCAGCGGUCUGGGGCCACACUGACGCUGAGGCACGAAAGCGUGGGGAGCAAACAGGAUUAGAAACCCCUGUAGUCC
RNAcentral lists this ribosomal RNA (450 nucleotides) under uncultured bacterium. Its description in RNAcentral is "bacterial SSU rRNA". It matches the Rfam family "Bacterial small subunit ribosomal RNA", at positions 354 to 796 of the family's 1533-position model. The record is from RNAcentral.